RNAcentral lists this unclassified non-coding RNA (388 nucleotides) under uncultured bacterium. Its description in RNAcentral is "contains 16S-23S intergenic spacer region". The record is from RNAcentral.
UCCUGGUUUCCCAGGCAGUCUCACCAGAGUGCCUUACCCGAAGGCAAGUAGCAACUGGCGACAGGGGUUGCGCUCGUUAGAGGACUUAACCUAACAUCUCACGACACGAGCUGACGACAGCCAUGCAGCACCUGUGAAUGUGUCUAAACCGAAGCUUAGAAAACCAUAUUUCUACGGCGGUCACAAACAUGUCAAGUCCAGGUAAGGUUCCUCGCGUAGUGUCGAAUUAAACCACAUGUUCCACCGCUUGUGCGGACCCCCGUCAAUUCCUUUGAGUUUUAAUCUUGCGAUCGUAAUCCCCAGGCGAAUCACUUAACGCGUUAGCUACGACACUAAUCCAGCUAAGCCAGACUAACGUCUAGUGAUCAUCGUUUACGGCGUGGACUAC